This 396-nucleotide ribosomal RNA is filed under the name uncultured bacterium. RNAcentral's name for it is "partial 16S ribosomal RNA". It matches the Rfam family "Bacterial small subunit ribosomal RNA", at positions 338 to 731 of the family's 1533-position model. The record is from RNAcentral.
CCUACGGGAGGCAGCAGUGAGGAAUAUUGGUCAAUGGCCGGAAGCCUGAACCAGCCAAGUCGCGUGAGGGAUGACUGCCCUAUGGGUUGUAAACUUCUUUUAUAAAGGAAUAAAACGAGGCACGUGUGCCUUUUUGCAUGUACUUUAUGAAUAAGCAUCGGCUAACUCCGUGCCAGCAGCCGCGGUAAUACGGAGGAUCCGAGCGUUAUCCGGAUUUAUUGGGUUUAAAGGGAGCGUAGUGGGGUUGUUAAGUCAGGUGUGAAAGUUCGGGGCACAAACGUAAAACUGCCGUUGAUACUGGCAGUCUCGAGUAGGAGAGAGGUAGGCGGAAUGCGCGGUGUAGCGGUGAAAUGCAUAGAUAUCGCGAAGAACGCCGAUUGCGAAGGCAGCAUACUA